UACGUAGGGGGCUAGCGUUGUCCGGAAUCAUUGGGCGUAAAGCGCGCGUAGGCGGCCCUGUUAGUCCGCUGUAAAAGUCAAAGGCUCAACCUUUGAAUGCCGGUGGAUACUGCAGGGCUAGAGUCCGGAAGAGGCGAGUGGAAUUCCUGGUGUAGCGGUGGAAUGCGCAGAUAUCAGGAGGAACACCGGUGGCGAAGGCGGGAUCCUGGGCCGGUACUGACGCUGAGGUGCGAAAGCGUGGGGAGCAAACAGG
Molecule: ribosomal RNA, 253 nt
Filed under: uncultured bacterium
Lineage: Bacteria
Description: partial 16S ribosomal RNA
Rfam family: Bacterial small subunit ribosomal RNA
Source: RNAcentral